RNAcentral lists this ribosomal RNA (1403 nucleotides) under uncultured bacterium. Its description in RNAcentral is "16S ribosomal RNA". It matches the Rfam family "Bacterial small subunit ribosomal RNA". The record is from RNAcentral.
UUCGCCCUUAGAGUUUGAUCCUGGCUCAGGACGAACGCUGGCGGCGUGCUUAACACAUGCAAGUCGAACGGAGCGCCUAUGAAGGAGAUUUCGGUCAACGGAAUAGGUUGCUUAGUGGCGGACGGGUGAGUAACGCGUGAGGAACCUGCCUUUCAGAGGGGGACAACAGUUGGAAACGACUGCUAAUACCGCAUAACACAUAGGUGUCGCAUGGCAUUUAUGUCAAAGAUUUAUCGCUGAAAGAUGGCCUCGCGUCUGAUUAGCUAGUUGGUGAGGUAACGGCUCACCAAGGCGACGAUCAGUAGCCGGACUGAGAGGUUGGCCGGCCACAUUGGGACUGAGAUACGGCCCAGACUCCUACGGGAGGCAGCAGUGGGAAUAUUGGGCAAUGGGCGCAAGCCUGACCCAGCAACGCCGCGUGAAGGAAGAAGGCUUUCGGGUUGUAAACUUCCUUUGACAGGGAAGAGUAGAAGACGGUACCUGUCGAAUAAGCCACGGCUAACUACGUGCCAGCAGCCGCGGUAAUACGUAGGUGGCAAGCGUUGUCCGGAUUUACUGGGUGUAAAGGGCGUGUAGCCGGGUUGACAAGUCAGAUGUGAAAUCCUGCGGCUUAACCGCAGAACUGCAUUUGAAACUGUUGGAUCUUGAGUACUGGAGAGGCAGACGGAAUUCCUAGUGUAGCCGGUGAAAUGCGUAGAUAAUUAGGAGGAACACCAGGGGGGAAGGCGGUCUGGCUGGACAGCAACUGACCGGUGAGGCGGGAAAGCCGUGGGGAGCAAACAGGAUUAGAUACCCUGGUAGUCCACGCUGUAAACGAUGGAUACUAGGUGUGCGGGGACUGACCCCCUGCGUGCCGCAGCUAACGCGAUAAGUAUCCCACCUGGGGAGUACGAUCGCAAGGUUGAAACUCAAAGGAAUUGACGGGGGCCCGCACAAGCGGUGGAUUAUGUGGUUUAAUUCGAUGCAACGCGAAGAACCUUACCAGGGCUUGACAUCCUACUAACGAAGUAGAGAUACAUUAGGUACCCUUCGGGGGAAGUAGAGACAGGUGGUGCAUGGUUGUCGUCAGCUCGUGUCGUGAGAUGUUGGGUUAAGUCCCGCAACGAGCGCAACCCUUAUUGUUAGUUGCUACGCAAGAGCACUCUAGCGAGACUGCCGUUGACAAAACGGAGGAAGGUGGGGACGACGUCAAAUCAUCAUGCCCCUUAUGUCCUGGGCUACACACGUAAUACAAUGGCGGCCAACAGAGGGAUGCAAAGCUGUGAAGUGGAGCGAACCCCUAAAAGCCGUCCCAGUUCAGAUUGCAGUCUGCAACUCGACUGCAUGAAGUCGGAAUCGCUAGUAAUCGCGGAUCAGCAUGCCGCGGUGAAUACGAACGCGGGCCUUGCACUCACCGCCCGUCA